This 146-nucleotide unclassified non-coding RNA is filed under the name soil metagenome. Its description in RNAcentral is "partial internal transcribed spacer 1". The record is from RNAcentral.
UAAUAAGUGUUUUAUGGCACUUUUUAAAUCCAUAUCCACCUUGUGUGCAAUGUCGGUCGAUCUUCUUUUUUUGAGGAUCGACCAAACAUCAACCUUUACUUUUAACUCUUUGUCUGAAAAAUAUUAUGAAUAAACAAUUCAAAAUA